This 2262-nucleotide long non-coding RNA is filed under the name Homo sapiens (human). RNAcentral's name for it is "long non-coding RNA NONHSAT200556.1". Lineage: Eukaryota; Metazoa; Chordata; Mammalia; Primates; Hominidae. The record is from RNAcentral.
AAAGACACAAAAUAAUUGGACAAUCUCAAGCUGCAUGAUUGUCCAAUGUUACCAUGUCCAAUGUUGUUUUAUUUCUUUCCUAGGCUGGGAAAAGCUUUUAUUACUUUUUAGCUCAUGAUUGCCUCUUUUUUUCUUUAUUAACCCUACUUUACUCAAAACCUACUGCAAAUGGUGACUUCUGCUCCCAUGCAAAAUUGCUAACCCUGACAUUUAUAGCACACCAUGUGUAUUGUCAACCUAACAGUCACAUGCUUCUUUUUUAUGUUGCCAUGGCUCAAAUUCAUUCUGGGGUAUGAAUGGGAAUUCAUACUUUUCCAUUCAACUCAAAUAGACUCUGAAAGGUCACAAUCAUAAGGGUCUCAUCUUCCUUGUCCACGAUUGGCUUGGCGAAAGGGCACACAACCCAGUUUUGGCCAUUAAGAUAUAUAUUCAGUUAUUCAUUCUACAAGUAUUUACUGAGCACCUACUACACAGCAGGAACUAGGUGCUAGGGAAACUGCAGUGAACAAAACACAAGUGUCUCUGGAGCCCCAGAUUGUAACUGUGGGAGAAAUAAACUAAUAGUAAACACAAAUAGUGUUAAAGGAGUUCAGAGAAAAUAUUAUUCAUUUUUAAUAUUCUAAAAAUAAUGCCAAAGGAAGAAAUUGUUAUUUAUCUUCCUCUGACAUUGAUGAAUAGGACGUGAUAGAGCUUCAGCAACAUGGAGAGGAGAUAGCCGGUCUGGCUAGGAUGGAAGAAAUGUACAUGGAGAAGAAAGACAGAAGAACCAUCACUGAGCACUAAACUAAUCAGCCAUAAUGUGUAAGCCACUUUUAUGAAUUUUUUUCCUUCCUUCCUUCCCUCCUUCCUUCCUUUCUUCUUUCCCUCUUUCCUUUCUUCUUUCCUUCUUUGAUACAAAGUCUUGCUCUGUUGCCCAGUCUGGAGUACAAUGGUGUGAUCACAGCUCAUAGCUCACCGUAACCUUGAACUCCUAGGCUCAAGGGAUCAAUCCUCCAGCCUCAGCCUCCCAAGUAGCUAGGACUUAUAGGUACGUGCUACCACACCAGCUAAUUUUUUAUUUUUUGUGUAGACUGGAUCUCGCUAUGUUGCCCAGGCUAGUCUUAAACUCCUGGGCUCAAGCGAUCCUUCUGCUUCAGCCUCCUGAGUUGCUGAGGUUAUAGCUGUGAACCAUUGAGCCUGGCCCCUGAAUUUUCCAUUACUUUCUGUUGAGAGUACCCUCACUGAUAUGACAUUGUAUACAGGUUUGGUAGAAAUAUUUUCGGAGCAAUUUAUGUUAUCUCUGAUCACUUUUUACAGGCAGAUUGACUGGCAAGCCUAUCACCACCUUGAUAACAGAUGACAUUAAAGAGAAAGGUAAAUAUAUGCUGUUUUGCUAAGUUUGUGCAAUGGCCAGAGAGGAAGAAAAAAUAUGUAGAAUGAAUGAACACAGACUACCAGCCCACUUAGAUAGAAAUAUACAUCCAUUGUAAAUAUAUUUCAGUAUAGUUGUAAACAGCUAUUGUUUGGCACUGAAAAAGUAGGUAUUUGUCAUCACAGAAGAAUUAAGAUUAUUUUGAGGCUUUUCUUAUCCAUGUAUAUCCAUGAAUAAUCACAUAUACAUACAUAUAUUUCAAAAUUGUCUUCUAUGAAAGAUUUUAUAUAUGUAAUCCUGUGUGUAUAUAAAUAUAAUAUAUAUAUAUAUAAUAUGUAUUCUUAAUCUUUAGAAUAUGAUUUAGAAAUUCUAAUUUGGGGUCAUAAUUAAAAAUAUGUUUCAUGAUAAGAAUACUAGAGGAGAGAGACAUUCAUUUUUUAAUGCAUAUAUAGAGAUGGAUAACAUAGUCAACAAAUAUCCCCCAAAACUUGGUGAGAAGAAACUGUUAUUUUCCAAAACUUUGAUAUGAUGAGGCAAAUAGAAAGCAAAAUCCCUCAUGGAGGCAGAAGAGGAGGAACUUAACAAAUGCCUGUUGAAUAAAUGAAUGAAUGUUUGAGCAUCUACAAUUUUGCAAUGAAUGUUCAGUUUCUUUUUACACAAAAACAUGGCCCUUUCAAAAAGUUACAUUCCUGUUUAUAAGAGACAAAUCUCUCCCCACCCUCUCACUUUCAUUCCUUCCCCUUCAUUUCUCCCUCUCUUGCUUCCUUCCUUCCUGCCUUCCUACCUGCCUACCAUUCUUCUCCAGCAAAUAUUGAGUGCCUUCUCUGGAGCUGGUAUUGUAUGCUGUAUUAUGAAUAAGACAGAUAAAAGAGGCUUUUUGCCCUUAAGAAACUUAUUAUACUCAAGAAAAG